UUGAUUUUCACCGAAGCUUGCUUCACCGAAAAUCAAGAGUAGCGAACGGGUGAGUAACGCGUGGGUAACCUACCUAUCAGCGGGGGAUAACUAUUGGAAACGAUAGCUAAUACCGCAUAACAAUGUUGGAUGCAUAUUCGACAUUUGAAAGUACCAACUGGUACACUGAGAGAUGGACCCGCGUUGUAUUAGCUAGUUGGUAGUGUAAUGGACUACCAAGGCGAUGAUACAUAGCCGACCUGAGAGGGUGAUCGGCCACAUUGGGACUGAGACACGGCCCAAACUCCUACGGGAGGCAGCAGUAGGGAAUCUUCGGCAAUGGACGAAAGUCUGACCGAGCAACGCCGCGUGAGUGAAGAAGGUUUUCGGAUCGUAAAACUCUGUUGUUAGAGAAGAACGUUGCAUAGAGUGGAAAAUUAUGCAAGUGACGGUAUCUAACCAGAAAGGGACGGCUAACUACGUGCCAGCAGCCGCGGUAAUACGUAGGUCCCGAGCGUUGUCCGGAUUUAUUGGGCGUAAAGCGAGCGCAGGUGGUUUAAUAAGUCUGAUGUAAAAGGCAGUGGCUCAACCAUUGUGUGCAUUGGAAACUGUUAGACUUGAGUGCAGUAGAGGAGAGU
RNAcentral lists this ribosomal RNA (617 nucleotides) under uncultured Lactococcus sp. RNAcentral describes it as "bacterial SSU rRNA". It matches the Rfam family "Bacterial small subunit ribosomal RNA", at positions 63 to 662 of the family's 1533-position model. The record is from RNAcentral. Lineage: Bacteria; Bacillati; Bacillota; Bacilli; Lactobacillales; Streptococcaceae.